Molecule: ribosomal RNA, 478 nt
Filed under: uncultured bacterium
Lineage: Bacteria
Description: partial 16S ribosomal RNA
Rfam family: Bacterial small subunit ribosomal RNA
Source: RNAcentral
GACGAACGCUGGCGGCGUGCUUAACACAUGCAAGUCGAGCGAUGAAGCUUCUUCGGAAGUGGAUUAGCGGCGGACGGGUGAGUAACACGUGGGUAACCUGCCUCAUAGAGGGGAAUAGCCUUCCGAAAGGAAGAUUAAUACCGCAUAAGAUUGUAUUAUCGCAUGAUAUAGCAAUUAAAGGAGUAAUCCGCUAUGAGAUGGACCCGCGUCGCAUUAGCUAGUUGGUGAGGUAACGGCUCACCAAGGCGACGAUGCGUAGCCGACCUGAGAGGGUGAUCGGCCACAUUGGGACUGAGACACGGCCCAGACUCCUACGGGAGGCAGCAGUGGGGAAUAUUGCACAAUGGGGGAAACCCUGAUGCAGCAACGCCGCGUGAGUGAUGACGGUCUUCGGAUUGUAAAGCUCUGUCUUCAGGGACGAUAAUGACGGUACCUGAGGAGGAAGCCACGGCUAACUACGUGCCAGCCGCCGCCGUAA